ACAUACGACCAUAGAUUCAAGAACAUAGCGCUUCCCGUUCGCUCAGCGGUACUCAAGCUUGUAAUCGGCGGAUUAGUAGUCAGGUGGGUGACCACUGGCGAAUCCCCGCUGUUGUAUGUU
Molecule: ribosomal RNA, 120 nt
Filed under: Alternaria alternata
Lineage: Eukaryota; Fungi; Ascomycota; Dothideomycetes; Pleosporales; Pleosporaceae
Also listed under: 2 other names
Source: RNAcentral